This 492-nucleotide ribosomal RNA is filed under the name uncultured bacterium. RNAcentral describes it as "partial 16S ribosomal RNA". It matches the Rfam family "Bacterial small subunit ribosomal RNA", at positions 29 to 507 of the family's 1533-position model. The record is from RNAcentral.
AGUGAACGCUGGCGGUGGGCCUAACACAUGCAAGUCGAACGGCAGCGCAGUAAGGGCUUGCUCUUACGGGGUGCGAGUGGGGUACGGGUGAGGAAUGCAUCGUGAUCUACUUUUUGGGAGGGGAUAAGGUAGGGAAAGUUACUCUAAGACCGCAGACGAUCUACGGGGGAAAGCGGGGGAUCGUCUCACCUGGCGCGAUUGGAUGAGCCGAUGUCGGUUUAGCUGGUUGGCGGGGGAAAGGCCCACUAAGGCGACGAUCCGUAGCUCGUCUGAGAGGAUGGUCAGCCACACUGGAACUGAGACACGGUCCAGACUACUAAGGGAGGCAGCAGUGGGGAAUAUUGGACAAUGGGGGCAAGCAUGAUACAGCCAUACCGCGUGGGUGAAGAAGGCCUUGGGGUUGUAAAGCCCUUUUGUUGGGAAAGAAAAGCAUCAGGUUAAUACCAAGCUGUUCUGACGGUACCCAAAGAAUAAGCACCGGCUAACUUCGUG